This 277-nucleotide ribosomal RNA is filed under the name Crocosphaera watsonii WH 8501. RNAcentral describes it as "partial 16S ribosomal RNA". It matches the Rfam family "Bacterial small subunit ribosomal RNA", at positions 1268 to 1533 of the family's 1533-position model. Lineage: Bacteria; Bacillati; Cyanobacteriota; Cyanophyceae; Chroococcales; Aphanothecaceae. The record is from RNAcentral.
CGAAUCUCAUCAAACCCAGCCUCAGUUCAGAUUGCUCUCUGCAACUCGAGAGCAUGAAGGAGGAAUCGCUAGUAAUCGCAGGUCAGCAUACUGCGGUGAAUUCGUUCCCGGGCCUUGUACACACCGCCCGUCACACCAUGGAAGCUGGUCACGCCCGAAGUAGUUACCCUAACUUUCGGGAGGGGGACUCCUAAGGCAGGGCUAGUGACUGGGGUGAAGUCGUAACAAGGUAGCCGUACCGGAAGGUGUGGCUGGAUCACCUCCUUAAAGGGAGACC